Molecule: ribosomal RNA, 484 nt
Filed under: uncultured bacterium
Lineage: Bacteria
Description: partial 16S ribosomal RNA
Rfam family: Bacterial small subunit ribosomal RNA
Source: RNAcentral
ACUCAAAUGAAUUGACGGGGACCCGCACAAGUGGUGGAGCGUGUUCUUUAAUUCGAAGUUAAGCGAAGAACCUUACCAGGGCUUGACAUAUUGACUAAUCACUGCGAAAGCAGAGAGUGCCUUCGGGCCGUCAUUACAGGUGUUGCAUGGCCGUCGUCAGCUCGUGUCGUGAGAUGUUUGGUUAAGUCCAUUAACGAGCGCAACCCUUAUGAUUAGUUGGAUUUUUCUAAUCAGACUGCCUCGGCAACGGGGAGGAAGGAGGGGAUGAUGUCAGGUCAUUAUUACCCUUACGUCCUGGGCUAGAAACGCGCUACAAUGGCCGGUACAAAGGGCAGCCAACCCGCGAGGGGGAGCAAAUCCCAUCAAAACCGGUCCCAGUUCGGAUUGCAGGCUGAAACUCGCCUGCAUGAAGCCGGAAUCACUAGUAAUCGUAGGUCAGCACACUACGGUGAAUACGUUCCCGGGUCUUGUACACACCGCCCGU